GAGCCGCUGAGGGACUGCGCAGGAAGACCACAGAAAUAAACCAAAGGGACACCGCGGACAGAUGUACCAGAGGACACCACUGAAGUCCAGGAGAAUCUCCACCAAAACCAUCAGCGUUUUCCUUGUAGCUUUCUGUCCCUCGAAGUGGAAAGUUGAGGUUUCUGAGAAGUCCACGGAGAGAACCUGCAGCAAACUGAAGCCACAGACUCCGAAGGCAUAGGGAGAAAAAAUGCUUCCAUCCCCCUUUCACUUUAAACUUGAUCGCUUCUGGGACUUCACUGGAGGGCGGUGGAGUUGCACCAACCUGGAGUACAGGCAGAUCCCAGCGAGCACUUCCAAGUACUUUAGGACGUGGGGGUGACUCUUUUUUCUUCAGGAUUGUCCCACUUGCCACCCUUUCCAGCUGAGCUGAUAGGAACCAAUGAAAGUCUAGGCGAUGAGGAUUUUCCGUUACCUCAGGGAUCAAAGUAUAAAAUGUUGAAUGAGAAACCCGAAGACCUUGCAUCGCUGGGCUGAAUAACUUGUUUUCUUUUUUAUGGUGUCCAGACUGAGUUCAUUUUUCUGAGGACCAAUGGUGAUAAGUGUUGGUCUGCCUAUCUUCCCAGAAUAAUCCAAGAUUUGGGGAAAGAAAGAGUAUUUUGCUAAUUUCAGUUUUCUUUCACAUUAAAAAGUUCAACGUAUCUAGAACGGAACAAAACGGAGAAAGCAAAGAAUAAAGGUAAACUCUAAGUUAAUAGUUAUUCAGUAAUACAUAAACAAUUCUCUGUAUG
RNAcentral lists this long non-coding RNA (770 nucleotides) under Homo sapiens (human). RNAcentral describes it as "non-protein coding lnc-FBXO33-2:10". The record is from RNAcentral. Lineage: Eukaryota; Metazoa; Chordata; Mammalia; Primates; Hominidae.